This 495-nucleotide ribosomal RNA is filed under the name uncultured bacterium. RNAcentral's name for it is "partial 16S ribosomal RNA". It matches the Rfam family "Bacterial small subunit ribosomal RNA", at positions 28 to 507 of the family's 1533-position model. The record is from RNAcentral.
GACGAACGCUGGCGGCGUGCCUAAUACAUGCAAGUCGAACGCUGAAGUAGGAGCUUGCUCUUCUGGAUGAGUUGCGAACGGGUGAGUAACGCGUAGGUAACCUGCCUGUUAGCGGGGGAUAACUAUUGGAAACGAUAGCUAAUACCGCAUAACAGUAGAUGUUGCAUGACAUUUGCUUAAAAGGUGCAAUUUCACCACUACCAAUUGGACCUGCGUUGUAUUAGGUAGUUGGUGGGGUAACGGCUCACCAAGGGGACGAUACAUAGGCGACCUGAGAGGGGGGUCGGCCAACAUGGGAAGGAGGCAACGCCCAGACUUCUAAGGGGAGGAGCAGGAGGGGAACUUUGGGAAUGGAGGGAAGUCUGACCGGGCAACGCCGCGGGGGGGAAGGAGGGUUUCGGGUCGGAAAGACCUGUUUAAAGAGAAGAAAGAGUGUGAGAGGGGAAAGUUCACGCUGUGACGGUAUCUUACCAGAAAGGGACGGCUAACUACGUG